UACGAAGGGGGCUAGCGUUGUUCGGAAUCACUGGGCGUAAAGCGCGCGUAGGCGGAUUAGUAAGCUAGAGGUGAAAGCCUGGGGCUCAACCCCAGAACUGCCUUUAGAACUGCUAGUCUGGAAUAUCGGAGGGGGUGGCGGAAUUUCUAGUGUAGAGGUGAAAUUCGUAGAUACUAGAAGGAACACCAGUGGCGAAGGCGGCCACCUGGACGAUUAUUGACGCUGAGGCGCGAAAGCGUGGGGAGCAAACAGG
This 253-nucleotide ribosomal RNA is filed under the name uncultured bacterium. Its description in RNAcentral is "partial 16S ribosomal RNA". It matches the Rfam family "Bacterial small subunit ribosomal RNA", at positions 524 to 776 of the family's 1533-position model. The record is from RNAcentral.